CUAACGUCCGUCGUGAAGAGGGAAACAACCCAGACCGCCAGCUAAGGUCCCAAAGUCAUGGUUAAGUGGGAAACGAUGUGGGAAGGCCCAGACAGCCAGGAUGUUGGCUUAGAAGCAGCCAUCAUUUAAAGAAAGCGUAAUAGCUCACUGGUCGAGUCGGCCUGCGCGGAAGAUGUAACGGGGCUAAACCAUGCACCGAAGCUGCGGCAGCGACGCUGAUGCGUUGUUGGGUAGGGGAGCGUUCUGUAAGCCUGUGAAGGUGUGCUGUGAGGCAUGCUGGAGGUAUCAGAAGUGCGAAUGCUGACAUAAGUAACGAUAAAGCGGGUGAAAAGCCCGCUCGCCGGAAGACCAAGGGUUCCUGUCCAACGUUAAUCGGGGCAGGGUGAGUCGACCCCUAAGGCGAGGCCGAAAGGCGUAGUCGAUGGGAAACAGGUUAAUAUUCCUGUACUUGGUGUUACUGCGAAGGGGGGACGGAGAAGGC
Molecule: ribosomal RNA, 481 nt
Filed under: Escherichia coli
Lineage: Bacteria; Pseudomonadati; Pseudomonadota; Gammaproteobacteria; Enterobacterales; Enterobacteriaceae
Description: partial 23S ribosomal RNA
Rfam family: Bacterial large subunit ribosomal RNA
Source: RNAcentral